This 445-nucleotide ribosomal RNA is filed under the name uncultured bacterium. RNAcentral's name for it is "partial 16S ribosomal RNA". It matches the Rfam family "Bacterial small subunit ribosomal RNA", at positions 354 to 796 of the family's 1533-position model. The record is from RNAcentral.
GUGAGGAAUAUUGCGCAAUGGAGGCAACUCUGACGCAGCCAUGCCGCGUGCAGGAAGAAGGCGCUACGCGUUGUAAACUGCUUUUAACCGGGAAGAAACCCCAGGACGUGUCCUGGGUUGACGGUACCGGAGGAAUAAGCACCGGCUAACUUCGUGCCAGCAGCCGCGGUAAUACGAAGGGUGCAAGCGUUAUCCGGAUUCAUUGGGUUUAAAGGGUGCGUAGGCGGAGCGUUAAGUCAGUGGUGAAAUCCUGCAGCUUAACUGUAGACUUGCCAUUGAUACUGGCGCUCUUGAGUGCGCUUGAAGUGGGCGGAAUGUGCCGUGUAGCGGUGAAAUGCUUAGAUAUGGCACAGAACACCAAUUGCGAAGGCAGCUCACUAAGGCGAUACUGACGCUGAGGCACGAAAGCGUGGGUAGCGAACAGGAUUAGAAACCCCAGUAGUCC